CCUACGGGUGGCUGCAGUGAGGAAUAUUUGUCAAUGGACGGAAGUCUGAACCAGCCAUGCCGCGUGCAGGAAGACGGCCCUAUGAGUUGUAAACUGCUUUUGUACAUGGGUAAACCUGCACACGUGUAUUCAGCUGAAAGUACUUUAUGAAUAAGGAUCGGCUAACUCCGUGCCAGCAGCCGCGGUAAUACGGAGGAUCCGAGCGUUAUCCGGCUUUAUUGGGUUUAAAGGGUGCGUAGGUGGGUUGAUAAGUUAGAGGUGAAAUGUGCGGGCUUAACUCGGGAACUGCCUCUAAUACUGGUGAUCUUGAGAGUAGGUGAGGUAGGCGGAAUGUAUGGUGUAGCGGUGAAAUGCUUAGAUAUCAUACAGAACACCGAUUGCGAAGGCAGCUUACCAAUCUAUAACUGACGUUGAGGCACGAAAGCGUGGGGAGCAAACAGGAUUAGAUACCCCAGUAGUC
RNAcentral lists this ribosomal RNA (460 nucleotides) under uncultured bacterium. RNAcentral's name for it is "partial 16S ribosomal RNA". It matches the Rfam family "Bacterial small subunit ribosomal RNA", at positions 338 to 795 of the family's 1533-position model. The record is from RNAcentral.